GACGAACGCUGGCGGCGUGCUUAACACAUGCAAGUCGAACGGUAAGGCCCUUCGGGGUACACGAGUGGCGAACGGGUGAGUAACACGUGGGUGAUCUGCCCUGCACUUCGGGAUAAGCCUGGGAAACUGGGUCUAAUACCGGAUAGGACCCUGGGAUGCAUGUCCUGGGGUGGAAAGCUUUUGCGGUGUGGGAUGGGCCCGCGGCCUAUCAGCUUGUUGGUGGGGUGAUGGCCUACCAAGGCGACGACGGGUAGCCGGCCUGAGAGGGUGACCGGCCACACUGGGACUGAGAUACGGCCCAGACUCCUACGGGAGGCAGCAGUGGGGAAUAUUGCACAAUGGGCGCAAGCCUGGUGCAGCGACGCCGCGUGAGGGAUGACGGCCUUCGGGCUGUAAACCUCUUUCAGCACCGACGAAGCGCAAGUGACGGUAGGUGCAGAAGAAGGACCGGCCAACUACGUGCCAGCCGCCGCGGUAA
RNAcentral lists this ribosomal RNA (478 nucleotides) under uncultured bacterium. RNAcentral's name for it is "partial 16S ribosomal RNA". It matches the Rfam family "Bacterial small subunit ribosomal RNA", at positions 28 to 523 of the family's 1533-position model. The record is from RNAcentral.